GUAAUGGGGUGGAUUAGCCAUGCUAGUUGCACGAGUUUAGACUCGUAGCAGAUAGCUCAGUAACACGUGGCCAAACUACCCUAUGGAUCCGAAUAACCUCGGGAAACUGAGGCUAAUGCGGAAUAGCGUUCAUCGCCUGGAGUGGCACGAACGCGAAACGUUACGGCGCCAUAGGAUGUGGCUGCGGCCGAUUAGGUAGACGGUGGGGUAACGGCCCACCGUGCCCAUAAUCGGUACGGGUUGUGAGAGCAAGAGCCCGGAGACGGUAUCUGAGACAAGAUACCGGGCCCUACGGGGCGCAGCAGGCGCGAAACCUUUACACUGCACGCGAGUGCGAUAAGGGGACUCCGAGUGCGAGGGCAUAUAGUCCUCGCUUUUCACGACCGUAAGGUGGUCGUAGAAUAAGUGCUGGGCAAGACCGGUGCCAGCCGCCGCGGUAAUACCGGCAGCACGAGUGAUGACCGCUAUUAUUGGGCCUAAAGCGUCCGUAGCUGGCCACGCAAGUCUAUCGGGAAAUCCGCGCGCUUAACGCGCGGGCGUCCGGUGGAAACUGUGUGGCUUGGGACCGGAAGACCAGAGGGGUACGUCCGGGGUAGGAGU
RNAcentral lists this ribosomal RNA (600 nucleotides) under Natrinema altunense. Its description in RNAcentral is "bacterial SSU rRNA". It matches the Rfam family "Archaeal small subunit ribosomal RNA", at positions 30 to 633 of the family's 1478-position model. Lineage: Archaea; Methanobacteriati; Methanobacteriota; Halobacteria; Halobacteriales; Natrialbaceae. The record is from RNAcentral.